UCAAGCUCGCGCGCUACUCGACUUAUUUGUAUCUCUAAUUUUCACCACUACCAUUAUUAUUGUCGUUGUCACCUUUGUCAAUAGUAAUACAACCACCCACUCCAUUGUUUUUCAUAUUAAUAUUUAAAAAUAAUUAACUAGACAAAAUAUAUUUACAUUAAAAAUAAAAUUAUUUUGUUAUUGUGAUUCUAAAAAUAAUUAUGUAAAGAGUAAAAUAUACUUUGACUCCUUUAAGAUUCCAUGAGAAAUACUUACGUUACAAAGCUUUAAAACAUUUCAAUAAGCACCACCAAGUUAAUUUAGCAUAGCAUUGUGGUCAAGCUGUUCAUCCACUCCACAUUGUUGAUGGAAAAAUGCCAAAAAAAAAAAAAAAACAAAACAAAAAACAAAACCAAGAAUGCCCUACUUUAAGAUCUCACUAGCUCACAUGAGAAUUAUAAACAAGAUGAAGGCUAUCUAGAUCGAUCCCAGCAACAUGCUUGGAACUAUGCCUCCUUUGUACUAUAAUACCGUGGAAACAAAUAAACCAUAUGAUUAGAAGAAAGGAUGAGGAUACUGGACGGAAGCGAGAAACUAAUUUAUUUAACAUAGAAAACAAGGCUAAAAACAAAAGGGAAAAACAAAGACUAAUACUAAACUUGAGAUGCUCAAAAGACAGAAAAAAAUUGUUGUUUUAUAGAAAAGGAGUCUCCUUU
Molecule: long non-coding RNA, 695 nt
Filed under: Elaeis guineensis (African oil palm)
Lineage: Eukaryota; Viridiplantae; Streptophyta; Magnoliopsida; Arecales; Arecaceae
Description: long non-coding RNA (EGUI_LNC067250)
Source: RNAcentral